UUGACGCGUAGAAGACCCCGAAAGGGGGAUUCUGUCACACCCUUUGUCAACUUAAACUAUCGUUGCCUCGGCGUAAGGCCGGGGGAGGUCACACUCCCCCCCGCCCCCUCUGAGGGGGCGGAGCAGGCCCGCCGGCGGCCCUAUAAACUCUUGUUUUUACAGUGUCACCUCUGAGUAUAAACACAAAUGAAUCAAAACUUUCAACAACGGAUCUCUUGGUUCUGGCAUCGAUGAAGAACGCAGCGAAAUGCGAUAAGUAAUGUGAAUUGCAGAAUUCAGUGAAUCAUCGAAUCUUUGAACGCACAUUGCGCCCGGUGGUAUUCCACCGGGCAUGCCUGUUCGAGCGUCAUUACAACCCUCAAGCUCUGCUUGGUGUUGGGGCGCUGCCUCCCUCUAGCGGUGGCAGGCCCCUAAAUCUAGUGGCGAGCUCGCCAGGACUCCGAGCGCAGUAGUUUUACCACCUCGCUUAGGAAGGACUGGCGGUGCCCUGCCGUAAAACCCCCCACUAUAUAUAAAAGGUUGACCUCGGAUCAGGUAGGAAUACCCGCUGAACUUAAGCAUAUCAAUAAGCGGAGGAAAAGAAACCAACAGGGAUUGCCCUAGUAACGGCGAGUGAAGCGGCAACAGCUCAAAUUUGAAAUCUGGCCUCGGCCCGAGUUGUAAUUUGCAGAGGAUGCUUUUGGCGCGGUGCCUUCCGAGUUCCCUGGAACGGGACG
RNAcentral lists this ribosomal RNA (716 nucleotides) under fungal sp. RNAcentral's name for it is "eukaryotic LSU rRNA". The stretch from base 196 to 349 matches the Rfam family "5.8S ribosomal RNA". The record is from RNAcentral. Lineage: Eukaryota; Fungi.